Populus euphratica (Euphrates poplar) is the source of this 1129-nucleotide RNA transcript. It is a transcript of the gene named chaperone protein dnaJ 16-like, with no coding region annotated. The transcript is spliced from 7 exons. Lineage: Eukaryota; Viridiplantae; Streptophyta; Magnoliopsida; Malpighiales; Salicaceae. The record is from RefSeq and is a predicted model, not a curated record.
AAAAAAGUGGAGACACAAAUCCAAAGAGUAGCGUGGUGGCAAUCAAAGAACCUCUCCUUCUAUUCCAUAUAUUAUCCGUCUACUAGUAAUCCAAAAUAAAUCCACCACACAGCACCCUCUUUCUUUUUUCUCUUGUAACUCUUCAAAUAUCUAACCAGAUUGAAUUUCAUUGUUUUUGAGAAGAUCACCUCUUUUUUUUUUUUUUUUUUUUUUUUUUUUAUGAGAUGAAGUAUGCGCAAAAUCCUCUCCACAACAAACCCAUCACCAUAGCAUAUGGAAGGCAAUGAAAACACCACUCAAAAGGAUUACUACAAAAUUUUGGAGGUUGAUUAUGAUGCAACAGAGGAGAAGAUAAGAUUAAAUUACCAAGGCUUGCAUUGGUUAGUGGUGCAUCUGUUCUGAGCAGCUUCUUAAAAGUGGCAUCCUGAUAAGCACAAGGGGGAUAAUGCAGUUACUACCAAAUUUCAAGAGAUCAACGAAGCUUACAAUGGUAAUUCUCAUUAUUGAGGGAUCCAGAUAAACGCUUCGAUUAUGACUUAACUGGAAUAUAUGAGAUCGAUAAGUAUACUUUGCGGGAAUAUCUGACCAGAUUUAAAGGAAUGAUACUUACGUGCAAUGGUCUUGGUAUUGGUAAUACAUCAAUAUGGUAAUCGCUUAAUGUCUUUCUCUAAUGAAAUUUCUUUGGAAGAGUGCUUCAUGUUCAAUGAACUUGUCUUGGCUUUAUGUUAGAUGGGAUGUCAAUGGAGUUCUCCUGUCAUAUGGAACCGUAAUUAGAAGGAUGCCUGUAUGGUUUGUGGUGAAUUUACUGGAAUUGAAAUUGUGGGACCCAGCAACUGACUGAAAUCAAAGAGCAUGCAGAAAAAUGAGGAGCAAAUCCAGUAUUUAACCGUUGGAUGAAAACAUGGAUACCAUUGUGUGAAAACAACAUGGGUACAGCUUCGCCAUAAAUGAAGGUGGAGCUACUUGCCAUGUUACAUCGAGGAUGAAAACGUGAAUCCAAUUUAUUGUCAGCAUUCAUGUAUCUUGUUUUUCUCUAUCAUACAUUUCAUGCACAAUCAAGUAUGACAUUAGCCUAUUGAUUUUGUUUUCAAAUGAGCACAAAGUCACUACACUAUUUGGUUCUUCUUUU